AGUUCAACCCGGCACGCCAAAGAAUCUGUCACGAAUAGCUGCCUGUUUUUUAUGGUUCGGAUCUAAGACCGAACCCUGAUGCCAUUGCUGGUGGAACAAACCGGCGAAUCACACGCCACCGGAGGAGCGGGAGGAGACUCUCAGAGAUCUCUCCCAACUCCAUUUCUCACCAAAACUUAUCAGCUUGUCGAUGAUCCUUCCGUCGAUGACCUGAUUUCGUGGAACGAGGACGGAUCGACCUUCAUCGUCUGGCGCCCCGCUGAAUUCGCAAGGGACUUACUCCCCAAGUACUUCAAACACAACAACUUCUCUAGCUUUGUUCGCCAGCUCAACACCUACGGAUUUAGAAAGGUAGUGCCGGAUCGAUGGGAAUUUGCGAACGAUUGCUUCAAGAAAGGAGAGAAAGGAUUACUUCGCGAUAUUCAGCGGCGGAAAAUCUCUCCGACAGGGGUUACGGCAGCAGCUGCAGCUACGGUAACCGUUGCCGCAAUUCCGCCGGUGGCACGUGUGGUUUCCCCUGCGAAUUCGGCCGACGAGCAAGUAA
This 544-nucleotide unclassified non-coding RNA is filed under the name Hevea brasiliensis (rubber tree). Lineage: Eukaryota; Viridiplantae; Streptophyta; Magnoliopsida; Malpighiales; Euphorbiaceae. The record is from RNAcentral.